This 495-nucleotide ribosomal RNA is filed under the name uncultured bacterium. RNAcentral's name for it is "partial 16S ribosomal RNA". It matches the Rfam family "Bacterial small subunit ribosomal RNA", at positions 28 to 507 of the family's 1533-position model. The record is from RNAcentral.
GACGAACGCUGGCGGCGUGCCUAAUACAUGCAAGUAGAACGCUGAAGGAGGAGCUUGCUCUUCUGGAUGAGUUGCGAACGGGUGAGUAACGCGUAGGUAACCUGCCUGGUAGCGGGGGAUAACUAUUGGAAACGAUAGCUAAUACCGCAUAAGAGUAGAUGUUGCAUGACAUUUACUUAAAAGGUGCAAUUGCAUCACUACCAGAUGGACCUGCGUUGUAUUAGCUAGUUGGUGGGGUAACGGCUUACCAAGGCGACGAUACAUAGCCGACCUGAGAGGGUGAGCGGCCCCACUGGGACUGAGACACGGCCCAGACUCCUACGGGAGGCAGCAGUAGGGAAUCUUCGGCAAUGGACGGAAGGCUGACCGAGCAACGCCGCGUGAGUGAAGAAGGGUUUCGGAUCGGAAAGCUCUGUUGUAAGAGAAGAACGAGUGUGAGAGUGGAAAGUUCACACUGUGACGGUAUCUUACCAGAAAGGGACGGCUAACUACGUG